Molecule: long non-coding RNA, 617 nt
Organism: Equus caballus (horse)
Lineage: Eukaryota; Metazoa; Chordata; Mammalia; Perissodactyla; Equidae
Source: RefSeq, a predicted model, not a curated record
AAAAUAUGUGGUGACAAGAAAGCAUUGCUGUAACAUACCAUGUGAGGAUGAUUCAAAGAUAAAGGCCUAUAAAAAUUAACGGUCAAAGAAGAAUGCGGACUAGUAAAGCAACAACCACCUUAUUAUAAACAGAGGUCUCUCCCUACUAGAAUGCAAGUUCCACGAGAGCAGAAUUUUUGUCUGCGUGGUUAGAAGAGUAUCCAGUACAUAACCCUGGUGCUUCCCGAGUGGCCCUACCUGGUGUACUGUGCUGUCUCCUGGGGACUGUGAGAAUAUCAAAACUGUGCAACUCUUUCCAGUUUCCCUCUCUUGAUCUGUGUUUGUCUUCACCAUACCUCACCCAAGGUAAUAUGGUUAAAAUAACUGUUAACUCAUAUUGACAAAAAUAAAUAUACCCUUAGAACUAUAGGAGUAUUUGGAAAUGUGUGCAAUAAUUUUUUUUCUGGAAAUAAAAUAUCGUAUUCUAAAAGACUCACUUGAUUUUAGAAAACAAGCUAAGGUUUCAUUUACCCAUCCGUUGAUGACUUAUCAACUACCACUCCUUACUAAUUUUAUCAGUCAGUUUUAUUAGGAUGCAGUAGCACACGGCAUAUACAAUUUAAAGAAUUGUAAUGAAC